This 253-nucleotide ribosomal RNA is filed under the name uncultured bacterium. RNAcentral describes it as "partial 16S ribosomal RNA". It matches the Rfam family "Bacterial small subunit ribosomal RNA", at positions 524 to 776 of the family's 1533-position model. The record is from RNAcentral.
UACAGAGGGUGCGAGCGUUAAUCGAAAUUACUGGGCGUAAAGCGCGCGUAGGCGGCUUUGCAAGUCGGAUGUGAAAUCCCCGGGCUCAACCUGGGAACUGCAUUCGAGACUGCAUUGCUAGAGUAUGGGAGAGGGAAGUGGAAUUUCAGGUGUAGCGGUGAAAUGCGUAGAUAUCUGAAGGAACAUCAGUGGCGAAAGCGACUUCCUGGACCAAUACUGACGCUCAUGUGCGAAAGCGUGGGGAGCGAACAGG